AAGACAGGAUCGUAGGUGGAAGCGAGACAGGUGGUGGCCGCCGAUGAUCUCUAUCCGCAAGAUAGUUGGUUGCAUUCUAAUAUCGAAGCGGAAACCGAUGGAUGUUACGACUCCAAAAACCGAUUUCAUUGGUCAACGUUAUAACCGGCCAAUAUCGCGCCACCACGCUCUCUCUCUCUCUCUCUCUCUCUCUCCACCAACCAACUCGCUUUCUAUUUGCAUAACGCAACUACUAUUCGGAUGUCGUCCGACCGACACCGUCUGAAUGAGCAAACUUUGAUCUCUCUCCCUCCCCCUCUGUUGGGAAAGAAAUUGAAACGCAAGGAGAUUCCAGCACACGUUUCUUAUCGAUCAAACGUACUUUCCUUUUCUCUCUCUCUUUCUCUUCCUCUUUUUCUUUCUUUUUUUUUUUUAUCGUUAACAAGUCGCAACGAGAGAAGA
Long non-coding RNA from Apis florea (little honeybee), 441 nucleotides. The record is from RefSeq and is a predicted model, not a curated record. NCBI's taxonomy places the organism in Eukaryota, Metazoa, Arthropoda, Insecta, Hymenoptera, Apidae.